Molecule: ribosomal RNA, 1466 nt
Filed under: Weissella confusa
Lineage: Bacteria; Bacillati; Bacillota; Bacilli; Lactobacillales; Lactobacillaceae
Description: bacterial SSU rRNA
Rfam family: Bacterial small subunit ribosomal RNA
Source: RNAcentral
GGCGUGCUAUACAUGCAAGUCGAACGCUUUGUGGUUCAACUGAUUUGAAGAGCUUGCUCAGAUAUGACGAUGGACAUUGCAAAGAGUGGCGAACGGGUGAGUAACACGUGGGAAACCUACCUCUUAGCAGGGGAUAACAUUUGGAAACAGAUGCUAAUACCGUAUAACAAUGACAACCGCAUGGUUGUUAUUUAAAAGAUGGUUCUGCUAUCACUAAGAGAUGGUCCCGCGGUGCAUUAGCUAGUUGGUAAGGUAAUGGCUUACCAAGGCGAUGAUGCAUAGCCGAGUUGAGAGACUGAUCGGCCACAAUGGGACUGAGACACGGCCCAUACUCCUACGGGAGGCAGCAGUAGGGAAUCUUCCACAAUGGGCGAAAGCCUGAUGGAGCAACGCCGCGUGUGUGAUGAAGGGUUUCGGCUCGUAAAACACUGUUGUAAGAGAAGAAUGACAUUGAGAGUAACUGUUCAAUGUGUGACGGUAUCUUACCAGAAAGGAACGGCUAAAUACGUGCCAGCAGCCGCGGUAAUACGUAUGUUCCAAGCGUUAUCCGGAUUUAUUGGGCGUAAAGCGAGCGCAGACGGUUAUUUAAGUCUGAAGUGAAAGCCCUCAGCUCAACUGAGGAAUUGCUUUGGAAACUGGAUGACUUGAGUGCAGUAGAGGAAAGUGGAACUCCAUGUGUAGCGGUGAAAUGCGUAGAUAUAUGGAAGAACACCAGUGGCGAAGGCGGCUUUCUGGACUGUAACUGACGUUGAGGCUCGAAAGUGUGGGUAGCAAACAGGAUUAGAUACCCUGGUAGUCCACACCGUAAACGAUGAGUGCUAGGUGUUUGAGGGUUUCCGCCCUUAAGUGCCGCAGCUAACGCAUUAAGCACUCCGCCUGGGGAGUACGACCGCAAGGUUGAAACUCAAAGGAAUUGACGGGGACCCGCACAAGCGGUGGAGCAUGUGGUUUAAUUCGAAGCAACGCGAAGAACCUUACCAGGUCUUGACAUCCCUUGACAACUCCAGAGAUGGAGUGUUCCCUUCGGGGACAAGGUGACAGGUGGUGCAUGGUUGUCGUCAGCUCGUGUCGUGAGAUGUUGGGUUAAGUCCCGCAACGAGCGCAACCCUUAUUACUAGUUGCCAGCAUUCAGUUGGGCACUCUAGUGAGACUGCCGGUGACAAACCGGAGGAAGGUGGGGAUGACGUCAAAUCAUCAUGCCCCUUAUGACCUGGGCUACACACGUGCUACAAUGGCGUAUACAACGAGUUGCCAACCCGCGAGGGUGAGCUAAUCUCUUAAAGUACGUCUCAGUUCGGAUUGUAGGCUGCAACUCGCCUACAUGAAGUCGGAAUCGCUAGUAAUCGCGGAUCAGCACGCCGCGGUGAAUACGUUCCCGGGUCUUGUACACACCGCCCGUCACACCAUGAGAGUUUGUAACACCCAAAGCCGGUGGGGUAACCUUCGGGAGCCAGCCGUCUAAGUUA